RNAcentral lists this transfer RNA (73 nucleotides) under Actinoplanes derwentensis. It matches the Rfam family "tRNA". Rfam says of the family: Transfer RNA (tRNA) molecules are approximately 80 nucleotides in length. Their secondary structure includes four short double-helical elements and three loops (D, anti-codon, and T loops). The record is from Rfam by way of RNAcentral. Lineage: Bacteria; Bacillati; Actinomycetota; Actinomycetes; Micromonosporales; Micromonosporaceae.
GCCGAUGUAGCUCACCUGGUAGAGCGUCGACCUCGUAAGUCGAAGGCACCCGGUUCAAGCCCGGGCAUCGGCU